GGGUCGGUACCGAAGCGGUCAAACGGGGGAGACUGUAAAUCUCCUGGCUCACGCCUUCGAAGGUUCGAACCCUUCCCGGCCCACCA
This 86-nucleotide transfer RNA is filed under the name Candidatus Uhrbacteria bacterium. RNAcentral's name for it is "tRNA-Tyr". It matches the Rfam family "tRNA". Rfam says of the family: Transfer RNA (tRNA) molecules are approximately 80 nucleotides in length. The record is from RNAcentral. Lineage: Bacteria; Candidatus Uhriibacteriota.